This 336-nucleotide long non-coding RNA is filed under the name Nicotiana benthamiana. RNAcentral describes it as "long non-coding RNA (NBEN_LNC033161)". The record is from RNAcentral. Lineage: Eukaryota; Viridiplantae; Streptophyta; Magnoliopsida; Solanales; Solanaceae.
CUCCUAGAGUUAUAAAGUGGGGGGUUAUGGUUCCCACCCUAGUGAAAGACAAGUUCUUCUUCCUCCCAUUGAAUCAAAAACUCAAACAAUCCAUUGUCUUGCAAAUAGGGUGGAAAACCAUACUCCAAAUUUGAUUAUUGUCAUAACCUUACUAUUGUGAACAAUUCACAUAUAUUGUUUUGAGUCUUGUGAGGCAUUUGUGGUGACAUGCAACUUCAAGAAAACUUGAAGGAAGGCUAAAGGAGUUCACAACAACUCAAGGACAAUUAUCAAAAGGAGGUUCAUCAAAUUCCACAUAUGGAUUCAGGUUAGCUUCCGCUCAUGUAGUUUAUAUAU